Molecule: long non-coding RNA, 607 nt
Filed under: Cricetulus griseus (Chinese hamster)
Lineage: Eukaryota; Metazoa; Chordata; Mammalia; Rodentia; Cricetidae
Description: lncRNA (ENSCGRG00015024079.2)
Source: RNAcentral
UCCUUACCCAGGUUUGGGCCACGAGCCACACCACUGUUUGGCCCAGACCCGGGCCAUGGCGGGUGGAUGGGCGCUAGGGGACUGCGAAAAGGGCGGAGCGCAAUGUCCGGCCAGAAGCAAGGCCAGGUGACAGUGAAGACUAGGAGUCCGCAGUGUGUCAGAGAGAUGUGUGCGCCCAGCGAGCAGGUGCCUGUGGCGCGGAGCGCACCAGAGAGCCAGCGAGCAGCGGCCUGACUCGUCCUGAAAAUCCAUUGUGUGUCUUGAGUGAAGAAGCAGGAAACAGCUGAAUGAGUUCUCAGGAGAUCAUCUCCAUGCUGCCAAGGGGAUCAUGAAGACUGGCUAUAUUCCUGAGAAUCUGACUUUCAGCAAAGCCUCCCAAAGGUCCCAAAUUUAGGACACUUGGAGUAAGAAAAUAUGCUUCCUCAGUUGUGCCUGUAAACAUAUGGAACACAUUGCAAAGUUCUGGAAAGCACACAGAACAUCUCUGUCAGAGUGACAGCUCCAGGCUAGGGAUCAAGUGUGAUGAUUGCUGAGAUUGGAUGUUGGAAAGAGUUAUGGUGACAUCAAGAACUGAUGAAUGCCAGAGAAAGCACCUUAGGACUUUGUG